UAGGGCUUGUUUGGUUCAUGCAUUUUGGGUAUGGAAUGGGAAUCGGUUUGAUCAAAUUCGGUUAAUUUUGUUUAGUUCGCAUGAAUCGGUUUGGGAUUCCUAUUCCGGACUGGAAUGGGAAUGGCCCAUUAGCCUUCAACUUGAUUCCGGUCAUCUAGCCCGGAUUGAGAUUUCAUUCCGGAAGCCCACUAAGUUUUCGAAGCCCAUGUGACCAUCUCACCUUCCUUCUCUUCCCCCCUUUCUCAAAAAAAAAAAAAAAAAAAAAAAAAACCUAUCCUCUCUCAAAACCCUAUACCUAACCCACAUCAAUAAAAUUUUUUAAAAAUAAAUUUGAUUUUUUUUUUGAAAACUUAUUAGAGAAUAGUAUUAUAUUUUUCAUAAAUUUUAAAUAAUAUAAAUUUAUAUUUGAGAGUAAAAUUAGUAUGUUAGUACUCCUAUAAUUUUUUAGUUUAUACGAACCAAAUAAUGAAAUGUGAAUAACUCAUUCCAAUUCCCAAUCCACAAAUAAACCAAACGUCUUGGGGGAGUGGGUCAUUCCAAUUACCAUUCCAAUUCAUUCCCAUUCCAUUAUCCAUUCCAAUUCCACCCUUGAACCAAACAAGCCCUUAAUUCAUUCCUUCAUGUGGCAUAAAGAAGGAAUAAAUUAAAUUAAAUUCAUCCAAUUAAUUAACAUAAUAAAAGACAAUAAAUGAGAAUAAUUAUAAAGUUAAAUGAUAUUUGGAGAUUUUGGAUUUUUCACCAACAGUAAAUGUAUAUGGUUUGUAUAUGUUUGUGGUUGUUUUUGUAUUAUACGACGCCGUGCAAAUAUAAGAGAGACUCUGUCCGUGUGAACAAUAGAUUUUCUGUAUUAAUUCGUGGCACAGUCUGUCAUCCCUUGAGUCAAAGUUUAAAAAAAAAAAUUAUUGGACAUUUUUUCGCUGAUUUUAUAGACUAAAAGAACCCCGGGGCGUG
This 951-nucleotide long non-coding RNA is filed under the name Ananas comosus (pineapple). Its description in RNAcentral is "long non-coding RNA (ACOM_LNC036005)". The record is from RNAcentral. Lineage: Eukaryota; Viridiplantae; Streptophyta; Magnoliopsida; Poales; Bromeliaceae.